UGGGGAAUAUUGGACAAUGGGCGCAAGCCUGAUCCAGCCAUGCCGCGUGAGUGAUGAAGGCCCUAGGGUUGUAAAGCUCUUUCACCGGUGAAGAUAAUGACGGUAACCGGAGAAGAAGCCCCGGCUAACUUCGUGCCAGCAGCCGCGGUAAUACGAAGGGGGCUAGCGUUGUUCGGAUUUACUGGGCGUAAAGCGCACGUAGGCGGACUUUUAAGUCAGGGGUGAAAUCCCGGGGCUAAACCCCGGAACUGCCUUUGAUACUGGAAGUCUUGAGUAUGGUAGAGGUGAGUGGAAUUCCGAGUGUAGAGGUGAAAUUCGGAGAUAUUCGGCAGAACACCAGUGGCGAAGGCGGCUCACUGGACCAUUACUGGCGCUGAGGUGCGAAAGCGUGGGGAGCAAACAGG
Molecule: ribosomal RNA, 404 nt
Filed under: Actinomycetes bacterium
Lineage: Bacteria; Bacillati; Actinomycetota; Actinomycetes
Description: Actinobacteria bacterium partial 16S ribosomal RNA
Rfam family: Bacterial small subunit ribosomal RNA
Source: RNAcentral